UACGUAGGGUGCGAGCGUUGUCCGGAAUUAUUGGGCGUAAAGAGCUCGUAGGCGGCUUGUCGCGUCGGAUGUGAAAGCCCGGGGCUUAACUCCGGGUCUGCAUUCGAUACGGGCAGGCUAGAGUUCGGUAGGGGAGAUCGGAAUUCCUGGUGUAGCGGUGAAAUGCGCAGAUAUCAGGAGGAACACCGGUGGCGAAGGCGGAUCUCUGGGCCGUUACUGACGCUGAGGAGCGAAAGCGUGGGGAGCGAACAGG
This 253-nucleotide ribosomal RNA is filed under the name uncultured bacterium. Its description in RNAcentral is "partial 16S ribosomal RNA". It matches the Rfam family "Bacterial small subunit ribosomal RNA", at positions 524 to 776 of the family's 1533-position model. The record is from RNAcentral.